GAAAUGCGAUAAGUAGUGUGAAUUGCAGAAUUCAGUGAAUCAUCGAAUCUUUGAACGCACAUUGCGCCCCUUGGUAUUCCAUGGGGCAUGCCUGUUCGAGCGUCAUUUGUACCCUCAAGCUCUGCUUGGUGUUGGGUGUUUGUCCCGUCUCCGCGCGUGGACUCGCCCCAAAGUGAUUGGCAGCCGGCGUACUGGUCCCGGAGCGCAGCACAUGUCGCGCAAACGAGUGCCUUGGUACGGCGGCGUCCAUAAGCCCCUCUCUCACGCUCUUGACCUUGGAUCAGGUAGGGAUACCCGCUGAACUUAAGC
Molecule: unclassified non-coding RNA, 309 nt
Filed under: plant metagenome
Description: partial contains 5.8S ribosomal RNA, internal transcribed spacer 2, and large subunit ribosomal RNA
Rfam family: 5.8S ribosomal RNA (bases 1-105)
Source: RNAcentral